Molecule: ribosomal RNA, 888 nt
Filed under: uncultured bacterium
Lineage: Bacteria
Description: bacterial SSU rRNA
Rfam family: Bacterial small subunit ribosomal RNA
Source: RNAcentral
AGAGUUUGAUCAUGGCUCAGGAUGAACGCUGGCGGCGUGCUUAAUACAUGCAAGUCGAACGAAGUCAGUAGCAAUAUUGGCUGAGUGGCGAACGGGUGAGUAACGCGUUGGUGACCUGCCCCGAAGAGAGGGAUAACAGUCCGAAAGGAUUGCUAAUACCCCAUGUGGUCGUUUGGAUUAGAUGCCUUAUGACUAAACGGAUUUAUUCGCUUCGGGAGGGGCCUGCGUCCCAUCAGCUAGUUGGUAGGGUAAUGGCCUACCAAGGCGAUGACGGGUAGGGGACCUGAGAGGGUGGCCCCCCACAAUGGAACUGAAACACGGUCCAUACACCUACGGGUGGCAGCAGUAGGGAAUAUUGGUUAAUCUGCGAAAGCGGGAACCAGCAACGCCGCGUGCACGAUGACGGCCUUCGGGUUGUAAAGUGCUUUUUGAAAGGAUGAGGAAGGACAGUACUUUCAGAAUAAGCUUCGGCUAACUACGUGCCAGCAGCCGCGGUAAAACGUAGGAAGCGAGCGUUAUCCGGAUUUACUGGGCGUAAAGCGUGUGUAGGCGGUUUGAUAAGUUGGAUGUGAAAGCUCCUGGCUUAACUGGGAGAGGUCGUUCAAAACUGUCAGACUCGAGAGUGGUAGAGGGAGGUGGAAUUCCGGGUGUAGUGGUGAAAUGCGUAGAUAUCCGGAGGAACACCAGUGGCGAAAGCGGCCUCCUGGCCCAUUUCUGACGCUCAGACACGAAAGCUAAGGUAGCAAACGGGAUUAGAGACCCCGGUAGUCUUAGCUGUAAACUAUGUGAACUUAGUGUCGGUGGGUUUAAAUCCAUCGGUACUGAAGCAAACGCGAUAAGUUCACCGCCUGGGGACUACGGCCGCAAGGUUAAAACUCAAAGGAAUUG